UACGUAGGGUGCGAGCGUUGUCCGGAAUCACUGGGCGUAAAGGGCGCGUAGGCGGCUCAUGAAGGCUGUGGUGAAAGUCCGGGGCUCAACCUCGGAUCGGCCGUGGCGACUCGUGGGCUGGAGCACUGUAGAGGCGGGUGGAAUUCCGGGUGUAGCGGUGGAAUGCGUAGAGAUCCGGAAGAACACCAGUGGCGAAGGCGGCCGCUGGCAGCUGGCUGACGCUGAGGCGCGACAGCGUGGGAGGCAAACAGG
Molecule: ribosomal RNA, 252 nt
Filed under: uncultured bacterium
Lineage: Bacteria
Description: partial 16S ribosomal RNA
Rfam family: Bacterial small subunit ribosomal RNA
Source: RNAcentral